UACGAAGGGGGCUAGCGUUGUUCGGAUUUACUGGGCGUAAAGCGCACGUAGGCGGAUCGUUAAGUCGGGGGUGAAAUCCUGGAGCUCAACUCCAGAACUGCCUUCGAUACUGGCGAUCUUGAGUCCGGAAGAGGUGAGUGGAACUCCUAGUGUAGAGGUGGAAUUCGUAGAUAUUCGCAAGAACACCGGUGGCGAAGGCGGCCAACUGGACCAUUACUGACGCUGAGGCACGAAAGCGUGGGGAGCGAACAGG
This 253-nucleotide ribosomal RNA is filed under the name uncultured bacterium. RNAcentral describes it as "partial 16S ribosomal RNA". It matches the Rfam family "Bacterial small subunit ribosomal RNA", at positions 524 to 776 of the family's 1533-position model. The record is from RNAcentral.